RNAcentral lists this ribosomal RNA (117 nucleotides) under Danio rerio (zebrafish). The record is from RNAcentral. Lineage: Eukaryota; Metazoa; Chordata; Actinopteri; Cypriniformes; Danionidae.
UAAAAAGGCCAUAUCACCCUGCAGCCCAAGACCGGUUACUCACUGAAGCUAAGCAGGGCUGAGCCUGGCCAGUACCUGGAUGGGAGACCACAUGGUAAAGCUAGGUUGCUGUUUGAA